CCACACCGAUCCAAGAUCGACCACAAUAUGUGAACUGUUGAACCGGGAACUAACAAAUUUCGGCUCCGGCUGGGAUGCGUUGGAACCUUGUUCUUUUUAAACCACGAAAUUGAACUUUGCAUUCGGAACUAAACUGUUGUGCUCGAGUUCGUCUUGACAUAACGACUUAGAAAAUAAAAUA
This 181-nucleotide unclassified non-coding RNA is filed under the name uncultured fungus. Its description in RNAcentral is "sequence contains ITS1, 5.8S rRNA gene". The record is from RNAcentral. Lineage: Eukaryota; Fungi.